CGGCAAAGAAGAAGACCGAUAAGGUUGUGAACCCUUUAUUUGAAAAGCGUCCAAAACAGUUUGGUAUUGGUGGUGCAUUGCCUCCAAAAAGGAUUUGCAUAGGUUCGUGAAAUGGCCAAAAGUUGUCCGCAUUCAACGCCAAAGGAGGAUUUUAAGCAACAUUCGAAGGUUCCACCUGCUUUGAACCAGUUCACAAAGACCUUAGAUAAAAACCUUGGAAAACGACAAAGUUGGAGGACGAUUUAUAUAGUUCGGUUACAUAUUACUUGGAAUGCUUGUUGGACCUGCAACUGCUGGAAGAGGAAAAUCAUAUUUGUUGAACAAAAGAGAAGGUCAAUUCAUUGCCUGGAAUAUCGCCUAUUUUAC
Long non-coding RNA from Papaver somniferum (opium poppy), 366 nucleotides. RefSeq lists it as uncharacterized. The transcript is spliced from 3 exons. NCBI's taxonomy places the organism in Eukaryota, Viridiplantae, Streptophyta, Magnoliopsida, Ranunculales, Papaveraceae. The record is from RefSeq and is a predicted model, not a curated record.